Molecule: long non-coding RNA, 331 nt
Filed under: Trifolium pratense (red clover)
Lineage: Eukaryota; Viridiplantae; Streptophyta; Magnoliopsida; Fabales; Fabaceae
Description: long non-coding RNA (TPRA_LNC007488)
Source: RNAcentral
UCCCAAAAUUAAAUUUAGAUGGGGUUGGUUUGUCAUGUGUUAAAGCAUUGUUUAAAUUCAUUUUGACUGAGCUUAGGUUUAAAACAAGAUAUCAUAUUUUGCAUAAGGGCCAAGUCUAUAUGUUAGUAACUUCAAAUUUUAGUUAGUUAAGAAGUAGUUAUGGUUAGCGAGCAUGUGAAACACAUUAUUGUUUAUGUUAAGAACUAUUUAUAAACAUGAAAAAUAAUAUGGAAGAAGAAGAAGAAGAGAAAAGAAUAGACUUUGUAUUAUUCUAUUCACAAGUGUAUUUUACAUUGUAACAAAUGGGUCCUAUUUAUAGGACACAUUUAGG